RNAcentral lists this ribosomal RNA (253 nucleotides) under uncultured bacterium. RNAcentral's name for it is "partial 16S ribosomal RNA". It matches the Rfam family "Bacterial small subunit ribosomal RNA", at positions 524 to 776 of the family's 1533-position model. The record is from RNAcentral.
UACGGAGGGUGCAAGCGUUGCUCGGAUUCAUUGGGCGUAAAGGGUGCGUAGGCGGCGCGGUAAGUCGGGUGUGAAAUCUCGGAGCUUAACUCCGAAACUGCAUUCGAUACUGCCGUGCUUGAGGACUGGAGAGGAGACUGGAAUUUACGGUGUAGCGGUGAAAUGCGUAGAUAUCGUAAGGAAGACCAGUGGCGAAGGCGGGUCUCUGGACAGUUCCUGACGCUGAGGCACGAAGGCCAGGGGAGCAAACGGG